RNAcentral lists this ribosomal RNA (357 nucleotides) under Lomentospora prolificans. RNAcentral describes it as "Scedosporium prolificans Eukaryotic small subunit ribosomal RNA". It matches the Rfam family "Eukaryotic small subunit ribosomal RNA", at positions 794 to 1150 of the family's 1831-position model. The record is from Rfam by way of RNAcentral. Lineage: Eukaryota; Fungi; Ascomycota; Sordariomycetes; Microascales; Microascaceae.
CUCGAAUACAUUAGCAUGGAAUAAUAGAAUAGGACGUGUGGUUCUAUUUUGUUGGUUUCUAGGACCGCCGUAAUGAUUAAUAGGGACAGUCGGGGGCAUCAGUAUUCAAUUGUCAGAGGUGAAAUUCUUGGAUCUAUUGAAGACUAACUACUGCGAAAGCAUUUGCCAAGGAUGUUUUCAUUGAUAAGGAACGAAAGUUAGGGGAUCGAAGACGAUCAGAUACCGUCGUAGUCUUAACUAUAAACUAUGCCGACUAGGGAUCGGACGAUGUUAUUCUUUGACGCGUUCGGCACCUUUCGAGAAAUCAAAGUGCUUGGGCUCCAGGGGGAGUAUGGUCGCAAGGCUGAAACUUAAAGA